GUGUCAGCAGCCGCGGUAAUACGUAGGGGGCAAGCGUUAUCCGGAAUUAUUGGGCGUAAAGAGUGCGUAGGUGGUUAUGUAAGCGAGAGGUGAAAGGCUACGGCUUAACUGUAGUAAGCCUUUCGAACUGCGUAACUUGAGUGCAGGAGAGGAUAGUGGAAUUCCUAGUGUAGCGGUGAAAUGCGUAGAUAUUAGGAGGAACACCAGUGGCGAAGGCGACUAUCUGGACUGUAACUGACACUGAGGCACGAAAGCGUGGGGAGCGAACAGGAUUAGAUACCCUGGUAGUCCACGCCGUAAACGAUGAGCACUAGGUGUCGGGGUCGCAAGGCCUCGGUGCCGCAGUUAACGCAUUAAGUGCUCCGCCUGGGGAGUACGCACGCAAGUGUGAA
Molecule: ribosomal RNA, 392 nt
Filed under: uncultured bacterium
Lineage: Bacteria
Description: bacterial SSU rRNA
Rfam family: Bacterial small subunit ribosomal RNA
Source: RNAcentral